This 30-nucleotide non-coding RNA is filed under the name Rattus norvegicus (Norway rat). Lineage: Eukaryota; Metazoa; Chordata; Mammalia; Rodentia; Muridae. The record is from RNAcentral.
UGGACACACAAUGUGUAGAAGGUUUGAAGC